Molecule: unclassified non-coding RNA, 98 nt
Organism: Pan paniscus (pygmy chimpanzee)
Lineage: Eukaryota; Metazoa; Chordata; Mammalia; Primates; Hominidae
Rfam family: Y RNA
About the family: Y RNAs are components of the Ro ribonucleoprotein particle (Ro RNP), in association with Ro60 and La proteins.
Source: Ensembl
GGCUGGUCUGAGUGCAGUGGUGUUUACAACUAAUUGAUCACAACUAGUUACAGAUUUGUUCCUUCUCAACUCCCACUGCUUCACUUGACUAGCCUUUA